RNAcentral lists this ribosomal RNA (222 nucleotides) under Gemmatimonadota bacterium. Its description in RNAcentral is "Gemmatimonadetes bacterium (marine sediment metagenome) partial 23S ribosomal RNA". It matches the Rfam family "Bacterial large subunit ribosomal RNA", at positions 2690 to 2925 of the family's 2925-position model. The record is from RNAcentral. Lineage: Bacteria; Pseudomonadati; Gemmatimonadota.
GACCGGGAUGGACGAACCUCUGGUGCACCAGUUGUCGCGCCAGCGGCACAGCUGGGUAGCUAAGUUCGGAAAGGAUAACCGCUGAAAGCAUCUAAGCGGGAAGCCCCUCCUGAGAUGAGGUCUCCCCGAAGACCCCUGGGAGACUACCAGGUUGAUAGGCGGGAUGUGUAAGCGCUGCGAGGCGUUGAGCUAACCCGUACUAAUCGGUCGUUCGGCUUGACC